GACGAACGCUGGCGGCGUGCCUAAUACAUGCAAGUUGAGCGCUGAAGGUUGGUACUUGUACCAACUGGAUGAGCAGCGGACGGGUGAGUAACGCGUGGGGAAUCUGCCUUUGAGCGGGGGACAACAUUUGGAAACGAAUGCUAAUACCGCAUAAAAACUUUAAACACAAGUUUUAAGUUUGAAAGAUGCAAUUGCAUCACUCAAAGAUGAUCCCGCGUUGUAUUAGCUAGUUGGUGAGGUAAAGGCUCACCAAGGCGAUGAUACAUAGCCGACCUGAGAGGGUGAUCGGCCACAUUGGGACUGAGACACGGCCCAAACUCCUACGGGAGGCAGCAGUAGGGAAUCUUCGGCAAUAGACGAAAGUCUGACCGAGCAACGCCGCGUGAGUGAAGAAGGUUUUCGGAUCGUAAAACUCUGUUGGUAGAGAAGAACGUUGGUGAGAGUGGAAAGCUCAUCAAGUGACGGUAACUACCCAGAAAGGGACGGCUAACUACGUG
This 497-nucleotide ribosomal RNA is filed under the name uncultured bacterium. RNAcentral describes it as "partial 16S ribosomal RNA". It matches the Rfam family "Bacterial small subunit ribosomal RNA", at positions 28 to 507 of the family's 1533-position model. The record is from RNAcentral.